GAUGAACGCUGGCGGCGUGCCUAAUACAUGCAAGUCGGGCGGUAAGGCCCUUCGGGGUACACGAGCGGCGGACGGCUGAGUAACACGUAGGAACCUACCCCAAACUGAGGGAUAAGCACCAGAAAUGGUGUCUAAUACCGCAUGUGCUCUACGGAGUAAAGCUUCGGCGGUUUGGGAAGGGCCUGCGUCCGAUUAGCUAGCUGGUGGUAUAAAAGACUACCAAGGCGACGAUCGGUAGCUGGUCUGAGAGGAUGAUCAGCCAGACUGGGACUGAGACACGGCCCAGACUCCUACGGGAGGCAGCAGUAGGGAAUUUUCCACAAUGGGCGAAAGCCUGAUGGAGCAACGCCGCGUGCAGGAUGAAUGCCUUCGGGUUGUAAACUGCUUUUAUCUGUGACGAAUAUGACGGUAGCAGAUGAAUAAGGACCUGCUAACUACGUGCCAGCCGCCGCGGUAA
RNAcentral lists this ribosomal RNA (457 nucleotides) under uncultured bacterium. RNAcentral describes it as "partial 16S ribosomal RNA". It matches the Rfam family "Bacterial small subunit ribosomal RNA", at positions 28 to 523 of the family's 1533-position model. The record is from RNAcentral.